GCACAUGAACUGCGUCUUCGAUGAAGGUGGUAUCUGGACAGCCUCCUUCAGCUACAAAGGAAGCAAGGCACAGUGAAAUUACUUUUCUGCAAUGUGAGGACACAGGUAAAAUGGUGGUUUGCUGUCUGAUGAGCACUGAGAGCUAGUUGGCUGGAACCUUGAUCCUGGGCUUCACAGCUUCUCCAAACUCUUUUACAGAAGCAGACUGGGACUGGGAUUUUCCUAUCUUCACCAAAACGGAAAAGGGAAGACUUGGAAGAAUGCAAGGGUAUUCUACAUUCCCCUUAGUACCCCAUUAAG
Long non-coding RNA from Chinchilla lanigera (long-tailed chinchilla), 300 nucleotides. RefSeq lists it as uncharacterized. The transcript is spliced from 3 exons. NCBI's taxonomy places the organism in Eukaryota, Metazoa, Chordata, Mammalia, Rodentia, Chinchillidae. The record is from RefSeq and is a predicted model, not a curated record.